This 253-nucleotide ribosomal RNA is filed under the name uncultured bacterium. RNAcentral's name for it is "partial 16S ribosomal RNA". It matches the Rfam family "Bacterial small subunit ribosomal RNA", at positions 524 to 776 of the family's 1533-position model. The record is from RNAcentral.
GACAGAGGUGCCAAGCGUUAGGCGGAAUCACUGGGCUUAAAGCGUGUGUAGGCGGAACGUUAAGUGCCUUGUGAAAUCCCACGGCUCAACCGUGGAACUGCUGGGCAUACUGGCGUUCUUGAGCCAGCCAGGGGUCGUCGGAACAAACGGUGGAGCGGUGAAAUGCGUAGAUAUCGGGAGGAACACCAAUGGCGAAGGCAGCUCGCUGGGACUUUACUGACGCUGAGACGCGAAAGCGUGGUGAGCAAACAGG